CAAAAUGUUGGUUUUUAUCAAAAAUGUUUUAUUUACUAGAAACUUCAGAGUUGUAGUAUAAAGAGAAUAACCAUACAUUGUCUCAAAAUAUGAAUUUUAUUUGUACUUGAAACCAUGAUUAAUUGCUUGGGACAGGUUUGCAUUCAUCACGUUUCAAGCCUUGUACUUAUAGAUAAGUUUUAUAUUUUGAAUACAAUUAAAACAGACCUAAUACCACCAAAACGGCAUGCGUCAUACUGGUGACCUCAUUCUGGUCAUAUAAAAUCUGUGAUCUAUAUGGCUUUUCAGCGCAGUCCAAUAUUUCUUAAACGGACUGGCAAAUUAAUGAAUCCCUAAUUUUAUGUUAACAUAUUAUAUUGUGCAUGUUAUUCAGGAUUCAUUGCCAGUCAAUAUUGGAAAUAUUGGCGCUAUAUUCACUUCAUUGCAAGUUCCUAUUUGAAAAAUUGACCCUAAAUAUACACAUUUGAUGUCUGUAAUACACCAUUCAGAAUGAGUCUGUAUUGAAAAAUGAUUUAAUAGAAGUGCUAUGAACUGGCUGUUUCUGUAUUGGCACUGGUAUAUAACCCUACAAGUAUCUAGUGCAAUACAGCAAACCUUGAAUCUAUACCAGAGCAAGUACUUACAGAAACAGCCAGUCAAUAACACUUUAACAAUAUAUGUUUAUUCUACAUGUCAUUUUGAAGUUAUUUCUGCUGUCCUUCAAAAAUUAUAUGCAUAAAUUAUAUUUUUCUCAUGUAUUUAAUAUAUCCUGAUAAAAAGUAAACACUUUUACUAGUUACAAGUCUU
This 786-nucleotide long non-coding RNA is filed under the name Mytilus galloprovincialis (Mediterranean mussel). Lineage: Eukaryota; Metazoa; Mollusca; Bivalvia; Mytilida; Mytilidae. The record is from RNAcentral.